UACGUAGGCAGCGAGCGUUGUUCGGAGUUACUGGGCGUCAAGGGUGUGUAGGCGGUUUUCUAAGUCUGGUGUGAAAUCUCCCGGCUCCACUGGGGGGGUGCGCCGAAAACUGGAAGGCUAGAGUACUGGAUGGGAGAGUGGAAUUCCUGGUGUAGCGGUGAAAUGCGUAGAUAUCAGGAGGAACACCUGUGGUGUAGACGGCUCUCUGGACAGUAACUGACGCUGAGACACGAAAGCGUGGGUAGCAAACAGG
Molecule: ribosomal RNA, 253 nt
Filed under: uncultured bacterium
Lineage: Bacteria
Description: partial 16S ribosomal RNA
Rfam family: Bacterial small subunit ribosomal RNA
Source: RNAcentral